Molecule: ribosomal RNA, 274 nt
Filed under: uncultured bacterium
Lineage: Bacteria
Description: partial 16S ribosomal RNA
Rfam family: Bacterial small subunit ribosomal RNA
Source: RNAcentral
AUACGGAGGGUGCAAGCGUUAAUCGGAAUUACUGGGCGUAAAGCGCACGUAGGCGGUUUAUCAAGUUAGGCGUGAAAGCCCCGGGCUCAACCCGGGAACUGCGCUUAUUACUGAUAGACUAGAGAGCGGGAGAGGGUAGCGGAAUUCCCAGUGUAGAGGUGAAAUUCGUAGAUAUUGGGAAGAACACCAGUUGCGAAGGCGGCUACCUGGCCCGGUACUGACGCUGAGGUGCGAAAGCGUGGGGAGCAAACAGGAUUAGAUACCCGAGUAGUCC